CCCUUAGAUGUUCUGGGCCGCACGCGCGCUACACUGAUGCAUUCAACGAGCCUAUCCUUGACCGACAGGUCCGGGUAAUCUUUGAAUCUGCAUCGUGACGGGGAUAGAUUAUUGCAAUUAUUAAUCUUCAACGAGGAAUGCCUAGUAGGCGCAAGUCAUCAGCUUGCGUCGAUUACGUCCCUGCCCUUUGUACACACCGCCCGUCGCCCCUACCGAUUGAAUGCUCAGGUGAGCCAUUCGGACUUUCAUCAUGCUGGUUUCCAGUUUUGAUGAAGGAAAGUCUUGCGAACCUUAUCAUUUAGAGGAAGGAGAAGUCGUAACA
This 322-nucleotide ribosomal RNA is filed under the name uncultured eukaryote. RNAcentral's name for it is "partial 18S ribosomal RNA". It matches the Rfam family "Eukaryotic small subunit ribosomal RNA", at positions 1470 to 1796 of the family's 1831-position model. The record is from RNAcentral.